RNAcentral lists this ribosomal RNA (774 nucleotides) under uncultured Neocallimastigales. Its description in RNAcentral is "partial large subunit ribosomal RNA". It matches the Rfam family "Eukaryotic large subunit ribosomal RNA", at positions 24 to 640 of the family's 3401-position model. Lineage: Eukaryota; Fungi; Neocallimastigomycota; Neocallimastigomycetes; Neocallimastigales. The record is from RNAcentral.
UAUCUCUGUAGAGUCUGCAUAUCAAUAAGCGGAGGAAAAGAAACUAACAAGGAUUCCCCUAGUAACGGCGAGUGAAGCGGGAAGAGCUCAAAUUUGAAAUCUUCAAGGUUUGACCUUGACGAAUUGUAGUUUAAAGAAGUGUUUUCGGUUAGAGGAGUGGUAAAAGUUCUUUGGAAUAGGACAUCAUAGAGGGUGAGAAUCCCGUAUUUGACCAUUCUUUCUAGCUUUGUGAUACACUUUCAAAGAGUCGGAUUGUUUGGGAAUGCAGUCCAAAAUGGGUGGUAAAUUUCAUCUAAAGCUAAAUAUUGGCGAGAGACCGAUAGCGAACAAGUACCGUGAGGGAAAGAUGAAAAGAACUUUGAAAAGAGAGUUAAACAGUACGUGAAAUUGUCAAAAGGGAAGCGUUUGACACCAGUGUUGUUUUUCCGAAAAUCAAUUAAAAAUGGAUUCAUGCUAAGUUGUAUUGACCUUAUCAGCUUGCAAUUUAGUUUUGGGUUUCUUUUUGAUGCACUUUUCGGUUAACAAGUCAACAUCAAUUUCCUUUGCUGUAAAAAGGCAGGAGGAAGGUGGCUUCAAUUUCGGUUGAAGUGUUUAUAGCCUUCUGUCUCUGCAGUCGGGGAGAUUGAGGUCUGCAGCGUAGAUCCUUCGGGGCUAGAUACAUUCGUGCUAAGUUAUAGCCUUUUAUAGACAACUUGUUGACUAUGAUUGGUCUUGUAAUUUACUCGCGAGUGCUAUUUUACCUACGCUUAGGAUGUUGAUCUACAGAGCGAGAGU